This 446-nucleotide ribosomal RNA is filed under the name uncultured bacterium. Its description in RNAcentral is "partial 16S ribosomal RNA". It matches the Rfam family "Bacterial small subunit ribosomal RNA", at positions 338 to 795 of the family's 1533-position model. The record is from RNAcentral.
CCUACGGGAGGCAGCAGUCGAGAAUCAUUCACAAUGGGGGAAACCCUGAUGGUGCGACGCCGCGUGGGGGAAUGAAGGUCUUCGGAUUGUAAACCCCUGUCAUGUGGGAGCAAAUUAAAAAGAUAGUACCACAAGAGGAAGAGACGGCUAACUCUGUGCCAGCAGCCGCGGUAAUACAGAGGUCUCAAGCGUUGUUCGGAAUCACUGGGCGUAAAGCGUGCGUAGGCUGUUUCGUAAGUCGUGUGUGAAAGGCGCGGGCUCAACCCGCGGACGGCACAUGAUACUGCGAGACUAGAGUAAGGGAGGGGUAACCGGAAUUCUCGGUGUAGCAGUGAAAUGCGUAGAUAUCGAGCGGAACACUCGUGGCGAAGGUGGGUUCCUGGACAUUAACUGACGCUGAGGCACGAAGGCCAGGGGAGCGAAAGGGAUUAGAUACCCCAGUAGUC